Molecule: non-coding RNA, 3202 nt
Organism: Chlorocebus sabaeus (green monkey)
Lineage: Eukaryota; Metazoa; Chordata; Mammalia; Primates; Cercopithecidae
Source: RefSeq, a predicted model, not a curated record
UUUUCUAAAUAUACAAUCAUGUCAUCUGCAAAGAGGGACAAUUUGACUUCUUCUUUUCCUAACUGAAUACCCUUGAUUUCUUUCUCUUGCCUGAUUACCCUAUAGUAUUCUAUCUCAGCAUGCAAUCUGCUGAUUCCUUCCCCUUUCUAAAAUGAGUUUGUAUUUUAAUUUUUAAAAUUAGUAUUAACCAGGUAAUAAAUAUUAACUGUGUACCGACUCUAAACUUGACUCUGAGAAAUGUUAUAAUGAGAUAUUUAAUGAAAAAAACUUGAGAAGCUAAAAAAUAAUUUGCCAAAGCAUAUGAUUUAUUUGCUAGUGCUUUGUUCAUUCAUCCAUUCACGCAUUAACCUGACUUUCAUCUUCUUAUCCCUUAUCUGCUCAUCCAUCUACCCAUGCACCCAUGCACUCAUCCAAGAAUCCAUUAAUUAAUUUAUUCACUCAUCCAUUUAUUCAUACACUCAUCUAUGAAUCCACCCAUCAAUUCAUUCUUCCAUCCACCCACUUACUGAACUAUCCAUGUACCCAUCCACCCAUCUAUUCAUCCACUCAUCCAUUCUUGCACCCAUUUACCCAUCCACUCAUUCACCCAUCCAUAAGUCCACCCAUCCAUUCAACCAGCCAUCCAUGCUUCCACUCAUUCACUUGUCCAUUCAUCCAUCCAUCUAUCGUUCACCAGACAGACGCUGAAGGCCUUUGAUGGUUUUGCACUUACCUUGGCAUUUUAAAUAUAAAGUUGGCAAAGUAGUUCCUGUCCUCUUAAAGCUCAAAAUCCAAGCAAAGAGAGAGAUCACAUAAAAAAUUAUUUGUAGAUAUUUUGAACUUCCUUAUAGAAAAGCAAUCUUCAACCUCACAGUGGCCUAAUCUCAGUAAAUGUGUAUUGGCAUUCUUUAAUAAUUGUCAUUUUAAAAAGUACUAAUUUCUCCUUUGGCAGUUGAAUAUUGUUUUCCUGCAUUCUUCUGACUUCUUACUUACAGUUAUAACAUUUUUAUAAUGAUUUAUAAUGGUAUGCUUUUAAAAUGGAAAUGAGAAAUAUAGAGACAGGUGUUACAUGGAGGGGACUACUAAAAUGAAGGAAUUAAUUUGGGGGACAGAUGAGAAUUUACUGAUUUUAAAAGUACUUGCCAUCUUUUUUUUUUUUUCAGUAGCAGGAAACUAAUGAUUUUUUUUAUUCUUGGGAGGGAGAGGACAGGGGUGGUUUCUUAAUUAUGAAGUGCAAUUGUUUAGAUUUUUAGGUAGUGUUAUUCCUGUUAUGAGCUGCCCCAGGCAGCCACAUCAAAGGCAGCUCUGUGUGUGUGUGUGUAUGUGUGUGUGCACGCACACACACACACGCCAGCCUGGAUUGUGGAGACAGACCUGGUCUCUCAGACCUGGAUUUAAUUUCAUUGCUUGAAGGAGAAAUAAGUUGGUGUGUUCUUUCUGGCAGAGAGUCAUUUUUUUCCUGCCUUGUUUUCUAGCUAUCAAGUCUGUAUUUGCAUUUUAAUUAAGAAAGAAGACAACUGUUGGAAAUGAAAUUUGGAUGAAAGCUGUGAAUAUUUACCAUUUGAACGAGUUGUGUUAACACCAAAGUGCUGGCACGGUAGGCAGGACGACACAUGGAUCAGCACAGAACAAAGACAGUAACGCCUUAUUUUAUGCCUUACUACUAACUUGGCUUAUCAGUUGGCAUGACCUCUGAAGAUCUUUUGCUCUGAAUGUUUUAAUCAUCAAGUUCUGGUGUUUAUCCAAGGUGAGCCUAAUCUACUUUGGGGUGGAGGGAGGAAGUGGUGUCAGGAGAGGUCAAACCAGACCACCUUGAGCUGGAAGCCCCGAAGGAGAAGGAUUCCUUGAAAUGGAGGUGAUUUUUGAAUUAUAAUAAGUGAGAAGACUGCAAGGGAGACAGAAGCUGAGAGACAAAUGCUCUGUGCUCUUCUCACUUUCAUAAACAGGAGAACUUCCACUGACCUAGCAGUAGUUUUCUCCUCCAGGCUGUCAUGUCUUCUGAUCGUGUCUUUUAUGAGGUGAAUUUCUCCUCAUGAAAGACCAGACUUUGAGGAGAGAUCCUGUGCAGGUCCCUACAGUGUGGAGAUGGAUUGAUUGGGCCUACAGAUUGCAGCUAAUCAAUUCAUCCUUUGCUUCCCAAAGGUUUAUACAUUUGGGUGGAGUUCACAAUGAGUGGUCUUGGUGCAGGGCCGUGUGGAGAAGCAUGUCUACCACUCUUGCCCCGGUGGCUUCUUUAGAUAAUCUUGCAAUCUUCACAGGUUCUUUUCUAGGUACGUUAUUGUUUGGAAUAACUCCCUUGAGUUUGGAAGAAUAAAAUGAAUAGUACUAGGUUUACUCAAUAGUUUGUUAGUUUGCUUGUUAUCUUAAACAGUUCUGUAAAAUUCUUUUGAAAAGUUUCUCUGCUCAUUGAUCUUGAAAAUCUCCUUGCUUUAGAGAAUGGAUGUGCUCCUCAUACGCUAAGAAUAAACUGGAUUUUGGUAAAUCAGUUUAUCUUAGGGGUCCUAAGUGAGUUUGCCAUUUUAAUGAUGCUUGGAGUGUAUCCUUGUAUAACAGAAAGUAUCUUGUACAUUCUAUAUCUUUUAGGAACUCACAUAUGUUGACUUUAUCAAGUGUUGGGGUGGUGGUGAAGCUAAAAACCAAUAGGUGACAUAUGGCAGGGUCUUCCCUCCAAGUGACCCUCUGGAAAGAGCUGUACUUAUUUCAUUUUGGUGGCGCUCAUAAUAGGGUCAGGAAACCAGGGAGAAAGCUGAACAACUGGCACUUAUAGAUCUUUCUCUUUAAAUCAGGUUUGCUUUUGAUUUGUCUGGUCUUUAUUGUUCUCCAUGUCUGAAGCUGAGUUCCUUGGAUUCCCUUCUCUUCAAAGCCCUCUUGGCAACCUUCCGAGGAAUGGCAGAGUUCAUUCUGAUCCACAUCCGGUGAGUGUAGCUCAACCAUGAUGGAGCUUGACCUGUCAAAUUCACAGAAAAAUGUCCGUUACAUAUUCCAGCUGUUCCUUAAACAUGCUCCCUAAGAGCUAGUUCCAUUUGUUAGCUGUCAGAAUGAUGUGGAGGAAUUGCUCCAGACCCUCGGAUGUCAUCAACCACUUUUGUUUAUACACCAGUUAUUUUCUCUAUUAGCAAAUCAAUGUUUGGCAAAAAGAAAGAACAGGCUAAGAACUUUUCGUGAUGAGUUGCUGCCCUCAGCCUUGGAACUCUUCUCAGCCAAAAAAAAAAAAAAAAAAAAA